CUUGGUCAUUUAGAGGAAGUAAAAGUCGUAACAAGGUUUCCGUAGGUGAACCUGCGGAAGGAUCAUUAAUGAAUAAACUUUGAGGAUGUUGCUGGCCUUGUCUUUUGGGAUGAGGCAGGUGCACUCCUCGGAUAUUCUUUUGGCCACCUUUUACAAACCAUGUGCACCCUCUGUAGGUCUGGCCUUUUGUUCCAAACCUAUGUUUUAACCAUCUGCUCCAUGGAAUGUCAUUUGAAUGUUGAAUCUUCUUUGAUAAUACACAACUUUCAACAAUGGAUCUCUUGGCUCUCGCAUCGAUGAAGAACGCAGCGAAAUGCGAUACGUAAUGUGAAUUGCAGAAUUCCGUGAAUCAUCGAAUCUUUGAACGCACCUUGCGCCCCUUGGUAUUCCGAGGGGCAUGCCUGUUUGAGUGUCAUUGUAAUCUCUCAACUUUGGCCUUUGGUUUUUUUCUUAACCCAAGGCCUGUAGUUUGGAUGGUGGAGGUGUGCUGGCUUGCUCUCCUGUCGGUCAGCUCCUCUGAAAAGAAUCAGCAAAGGGAAACGCACCUGUUCCUGCAUCUUGUGCUUCUGGCAUUGAUAACUGUCCAUGCCUGUUAUGGCUCAGAUGCCUUUUGGAUCGGUUGAGCGUCUUUGCUUACAGUUGUCCUUUGGACAUUUUUGACAAAUCACCUCAAAUCAGGUAGGAAUACCCGCUGAACUUAAGCAUAUCAAU
RNAcentral lists this ribosomal RNA (711 nucleotides) under Hygrocybe lepida. RNAcentral's name for it is "eukaryotic LSU rRNA". The stretch from base 262 to 415 matches the Rfam family "5.8S ribosomal RNA". Lineage: Eukaryota; Fungi; Basidiomycota; Agaricomycetes; Agaricales; Hygrophoraceae. The record is from RNAcentral.